This is a non-coding RNA of Dermacentor andersoni, 574 nucleotides long. Lineage: Eukaryota; Metazoa; Arthropoda; Arachnida; Ixodida; Ixodidae. The record is from RefSeq and is a predicted model, not a curated record.
AGCAAGGCCGGCUGCGCAUGUGAAGCCCGCGUGCUCGGCGACCCGUCUUUUUUGGAUGCAGCCCGUUUUUUAGGCUCCCGGCGUUCUUUUGUGUUCCGUCUGCAUUUCGGCACGGUACAGCUGCACUACUUGACUACAAGAUAUGGUUUUGACGUUACUGCUGUUGGCCGUUCUACCGUUUGUUGACGGCGGUGGCAGUUCACCUCUCAAUCCCCGAGAACAACAGGGACAGUUGUGCCAUCAGGCUGGAAACUGCGGCGGAAAUACUUCACUAACGUUAUGUUUGUUCAACGGAACCAACACAUACCCCUUCUGCACAAUGUGUGGUAUGUGUUCCCUUCAGUUCGAAUAUUCUUAUUCCGCGUUGUAGACUUACAUUUAGGAUAUGGGGCAGAUGUUGGCCCUAAAAAUCUAUGUAUUCUAUCUCAAUACACAAUAAAACGCAAAAAAAAAAGGAGAAAUAAGAAUUUUAGAUCAGUGCUUGUAAUCUGUCGCUGUGACUAGCGUGGAUGCACAAAUGUAUAGCAAUGCAGAAAAACCAAUGACGUUGCAUGUACGUAAAACCUUAUAGCGG